Molecule: ribosomal RNA, 468 nt
Filed under: uncultured bacterium
Lineage: Bacteria
Description: partial 16S ribosomal RNA
Rfam family: Bacterial small subunit ribosomal RNA
Source: RNAcentral
GACGAACGCUGGCGGCGUGCCUAACACAUGCAAGUCGAACGGAAAGGCCCUGCUUUUGUGGGGUGCUCGAGUGGCGAACGGGUGAGUAACACGUGAGUAACCUGCCCUUGACUUUGGGAUAACUUCAGGAAACUGGGGCUAAUACCGGAUAGGAGCUCCUGCUGCAUGGUGGGGGUUGGAAAGUUUCGGCGGUUGGGGAUGGACUCGCGGCUUAUCAGCUUGUUGGUGGGGUAGUGGCUUACCAAGGCUUUGACGGGUAGCCGGCCUGAGAGGGUGGCCGGCCACAUUGGGACUGAGAUACGGCCCAGACUCCUACGGGAGGCAGCAGUGGGGAAUAUUGCACAAUGGGCGGAAGCCUGAUGCAGCAACGCCGCGUGCGGGAUGACGGCCUUCGGGUUGUAAACCGCUUUCGCCUGUGACGAAGCGUGAGUGACGGUAAUGGGUAAAGAAGCACCGGCUAACUACGUG